GUCUGUUUGAUAGUAUAUCCGUAACUGUCACCAUUUUAUGUAUACAAUAACAUACAGUAUCUGGAAAAUCAAUACAUGUAUAUAUUUUACCUAUUGUAAAUGCCCUCUUACAGUGUCUUUUUAGACUGCAGUUUUAAAUACGGAAGUACAGAGCUAAUUAUGUAUCAUAAUUACACAAAUAAUCAGAUUCAUCAAUGAUAAUCAACUAGCUUCAAGUGUACUGCAAACAUUCAGAAUAUUGAUACUAGACUAAAUUUCUGCAGUGAUGCGUUUGAGUAAUAAUAUAUCUUAACUUGUUCCUCUUUGACUGACUCAGAUCUUUUAUUUCUACUUGUCUUUAUUGUAUACAUAACUUAAAGGGAGUUUGGUGUGGGUAAGAUGAAAUAAAAAUUCUUUGAAUAACUCAAUAUAACUGGAAUAUAAAAAGAUAUUGAGGUGGAUAGACUUUAUCACUAUAGCUAAUUGUGGAUCUGUGACACUUAACCUGAGAUUUAACAACACUUAAACUAUUGACGUCAUACAAAAAUCUCUUUUUGUUUGUGGCGUCAAACAUUUUCUCUUGUGACAUAACAAAUUUACGGGAACUUCUGAUUGUCCAAUGAUAGCAGAACAAUUGAGACAAAGUGUAUGGAGUCCAAUUGACAUGGAUUUAAAAACUUAGGGAACUUUCUUUGCCAUUAUCUAGUAAUUUUUUACCUGUAACAUUUUUUUUUUUUCAAUCAUAAAACAUCUCCUUAUUGUAAUCAUACAAUGCAACAUCUCCCUAUAAUACCAUACAACAUCUCCUUAUUGCAAUCAUAACACACCAUAUUUUAACCAGAUGCUCCGCAAGUCACAGCUUUAUAUGACCGCACAGAAUUCGAACCCUGAACAUUGGGGCAAGUAUGGACACAACAUUCAAGCUUGAUACAGCUCUGAAUUCGGAUUGUGAUUAAAUAGUUGACACAACACAGGUUUCUCACACAUAAUGAAUGUGGUCUAAGAACUUAAACUUAAAAACUUUAAAUUUUAACAGUCGGAAACCCGGUUGAAAUAGAACAAAAGAAUAGAAACUCUUUGUUAGAGAAGGCGAUAAAUGUGUAUGGUAUUG
Molecule: long non-coding RNA, 1090 nt
Filed under: Mytilus galloprovincialis (Mediterranean mussel)
Lineage: Eukaryota; Metazoa; Mollusca; Bivalvia; Mytilida; Mytilidae
Source: RNAcentral